UACGUAGGUGGCAAGCGUUGUCCGGAUUUAUUGGGUUUAAAGGGUGCGUAGGCGGUUCUGUAAGUCAGUGGUGAAAUCCGGCAGCUCAACUGUCGAUGUGCCAUUGAUACUGCAGAACUUGAGUACAGACGAGGUAGGCGGAAUUGACGGUGUAGCGGUGAAAUGCUUAGAUAUGACAUAGAACACCGAUAGCGAAGGCAGCUUGCUACACAAUUAUUGACGCUGAGGCUCGAAAGCGUGGGGAUCAAACAGG
This 253-nucleotide ribosomal RNA is filed under the name uncultured bacterium. RNAcentral describes it as "partial 16S ribosomal RNA". It matches the Rfam family "Bacterial small subunit ribosomal RNA", at positions 524 to 776 of the family's 1533-position model. The record is from RNAcentral.